GAUGAACGCUGGCGGUGUGCCUAAUACAUGCAAGUCGAGCGAACAGACGAGGAGCUUACUCCUCUGACGUUAGCGGCGGACGGGUGAGUAACACGUGGAUAACCUACCUAUAAGACUGGGAUAACUUCGGGAAACCGGAGCUAAUACCGGAUAACAUGCUGAACCGCAUGGUUCAACAGUGGAAGACGGUCUUGCUGUCACUUAUAGAUGGAUCCGCGUCGCAUUAGCUAGUUGGUAAGGUAACGGCUUACCAAGGCAACGAUGCGUAGCCGACCUGAGAGGGUGAUCGGCCACACUGGAACUGAGACACGGUCCAGACUCCUACGGGAGGCAGCAGUAGGGAAUCUUCCGCAAUGGGCGAAAGCCUGACGGAGCAACGCCGCGUGGGUGAAGAAGGUCUUCGGAUCGUAAAACUCUGUUAUUAGGGAAGAACAAAUGUGUAAGUAACUAUGCACGUCUUGACGGUACCUAAUCAGAAAGCCACGGCUAACUACGUG
This 497-nucleotide ribosomal RNA is filed under the name uncultured bacterium. RNAcentral's name for it is "partial 16S ribosomal RNA". It matches the Rfam family "Bacterial small subunit ribosomal RNA", at positions 28 to 507 of the family's 1533-position model. The record is from RNAcentral.